Molecule: non-coding RNA, 1378 nt
Organism: Labrus bergylta (ballan wrasse)
Lineage: Eukaryota; Metazoa; Chordata; Actinopteri; Labriformes; Labridae
Source: RefSeq, a predicted model, not a curated record
GAUAGUGGCUCUGUGUUGGUCGUCGGGUCUCUGAUCGUGGGGUUGCUACUUUAAAAAAGACGAUCUCAGCAAGAUGAUCAGGAAACGGAGGGAGAUGUUCAAGAAAGUCUGACUACAGGAGAAACCAAGACCACUCUUACUGACGACCACUGAAAUCAACACUUCUUGUUUGCUUGAGCCCGCAUCAGCAUUUUAACUUUUCCUAAUGCAAACAUCCAUGUACAUAACCAGGUAAAGCUUGUAUCACUGUGAUUUAACAGAAACUGCAAGCGCUUUGUUCACCUUUAAUCUACCAAGUAAACGAGCUCCAAUCAAGUUUAAAAUGUCAACAAAGACUGAUAUAUCGCUGACAACAGGAGUAAAAGGGGUCCAGGUCAGGCUCUGUUGUCUUAAAGUAACCACAUUGGGAACCGUUCCGACACCACGGAGUCUCUGAUGUUGAUUUAUGGAGGACAAAAGUGUAUAAUGUGAUGAUUUAGCCCACGCAAUAACUGUAGCUUUUGGCAGCUUAUCAGCCUCCUUCUUACUCCCUCUUCACGUUCCAUGUCUUUAGUGAAGGGUUAGAAUCAUGCAAUACUUUUAAUUCGUGUGUGUGUGUGUGUGUGUGUGUGUGUAUGUAUUUUAAGGAAAUGCAACUAUUUCCUGCCAACGUUUCUUUUAUUCAUAUAUGUUGUGCUAGGAGGGGUUAGAGGCAUAAAAACAGGCGUGCUUGCUGUUGCCAUGGUGCUUUCAGACACUCUCUGCCAGUCUGCGCGGGCGCAAUCAGGAGAACAAAAAAGUUUGGGAAUUUCAUUCACUGUGUGAGAGUAUGUAGUCAUAAGACAAACAUUUCAGGAAUGCCAGACAUCCAUCAAACUGGUCGGAGGCAACAGAGCAGGCUGUGAUAGGCCCUUUUUUUGAGGUUUGGUUUAUUUAACUUUUUUCACAACCGAGUUCUCAGAGAAACCGCCUCGCAUGCCUUUAAAAUCUUGAAUUCUGAUCGAGCCUGCAUGUCAAGCUCGAGCCUGUCAGACCAAAUAUUCUCUACUGUACUGAAGACAAGCCAAAAGUGGAAAACAAAACUCCUAAUCAAUCAUAAAUGUGAAUGAUUAACUGUUCUGUAACACACAGUUAAUCAUUGACCUGUUUGGAGAAAAAGCAGUUUAUGAAGUUUAUGAGUUUAUGAAAUCAACGACAAACGUCCUUAACUACUGUCAGUCAUUCAGAUUCUGUGUGUCGUGAAAAUUAGGUUUAUAUACAUGUAUGUGUUUGUAAAAUGAACUGUAUACUCUUUUAAUUAUUUUUUUAUCGUGUUUUUUAGCACUAGCACCUUGUACAAACUGUGAAUUGUGAUUGUAUGGUAAUAAAACAAAGUCUAAAUAAAAAAAACAUAAAACAA